RNAcentral lists this long non-coding RNA (328 nucleotides) under Phasianus colchicus (ring-necked pheasant). RNAcentral describes it as "lncRNA (ENSPCLG00000004792.1)". The record is from RNAcentral. Lineage: Eukaryota; Metazoa; Chordata; Aves; Galliformes; Phasianidae.
GCUUUCAGAUUUUUUAAUUGUCUCAGAUCAGCAUAGUACAUGUUUAUCCAGCUUUGGUUUUUCCCUUUGGAAUUAAAAUUUUGAAGAGUUUCCUGCAAACAUCGAUUUGAAAUGACACUCUGCAGGUGAAGUGGGAAGAACAAUAAAAUAGCAUGUGUUUAAGGUGGCAAGAAAUAGCUGCUCUUUUUGGAUCAUCUAUAGGUGAAGGAAGAAGAAAAUGGACAAGAACAGCACAGAGAACAAAAGCGAGUAGCAGCCUAGUAGGAGUAAAAGAUUAUUCCUCUCUCUGAGAACAUGGCAGCCAUGUUGUCUCAGUGCUUGUUAUGAG